GAUGAAGAACGUAGCGAAAUGCGAUAAGUAUUGUGAAUUGCAGAAUCCAGUGAAUCAUCGAAUCUUUGAACGCACAUUGCGCCCGCCAGUAUUCUGGCGGGCAUGCCUGUUCGAGCGUCAUUUCAACCCUCAAGCACAGCUUGGUGUUGGGACUCGCGUUAAUUCGCGUUCCCCAAAUUGAUUGGCGGUCACGUCGAGCUUCCAUAGCGUAGUAGUAAAACCCUCGUUACUGGUAAUCGUCGCGGCCACGCCGUUAAACCCCAACUUCUGAAUGUUGACCUCGGAUCAUGUAGGAAUACCCGCUGAACUUAAGCAUAUCAAUAAGCGGAGGA
RNAcentral lists this unclassified non-coding RNA (332 nucleotides) under soil metagenome. RNAcentral's name for it is "partial contains 5.8S ribosomal RNA, internal transcribed spacer 2, and large subunit ribosomal RNA". The stretch from base 1 to 120 matches the Rfam family "5.8S ribosomal RNA", at positions 35 to 154 of the family's 154-position model. The record is from RNAcentral.